RNAcentral lists this ribosomal RNA (497 nucleotides) under uncultured bacterium. RNAcentral describes it as "partial 16S ribosomal RNA". It matches the Rfam family "Bacterial small subunit ribosomal RNA", at positions 28 to 507 of the family's 1533-position model. The record is from RNAcentral.
GAUGAACGCUGGCGGCGUGCCUAAUACAUGCAAGUCGAGCGAACGGACGAGAAGCUUGCUUCUCUGAUGUUAGCGGCGGACGGGUGAGUAACACGUGGAUAACCUACCUAUAAGACUGGGAUAACUUCGGGAAACCGGAGCUAAUACCGGAUAAUAUUUUGAACCGCAUGGUUCAAAAGUGAAAGACGGUCUUGCUGUCACUUAUAGAUGGAUCCGCGCUGCAUUAGCUAGUUGGUAAGGUAACGGCUUACCAAGGCAACGAUGCAUAGCCGACCUGAGAGGGUGAUCGGCCACACUGGAACUGAGACACGGUCCAGACUCCUACGGGAGGCAGCAGUAGGGAAUCUUCCGCAAUGGGCGAAAGCCUGACGGAGCAACGCCGCGUGAGUGAUGAAGGUCUUCGGAUCGUAAAACUCUGUUAUUAGGGACGAACAUAUGUGUAAGUAACUGUGCACAUCUUGACGGUACCUAAUCAGAAAGCCACGGCUAACUACGUG